This 900-nucleotide ribosomal RNA is filed under the name uncultured Bacteroidota bacterium. Its description in RNAcentral is "bacterial SSU rRNA". It matches the Rfam family "Bacterial small subunit ribosomal RNA", at positions 589 to 1501 of the family's 1533-position model. Lineage: Bacteria; Pseudomonadati; Bacteroidota. The record is from RNAcentral.
CAGUGGUGAAAUAUUCGGGCUCAACCGGGAUACUGCCAUUGAUACUGUAUAGCUGGAAUAUGGUUGCUGUGGGUGGAAUGUGUGGUGUAGCGGUGAAAUGCAUAGAUAUCACACAGAAUAUCGAUUGCGAAGGCAACUCACAAAGCCAUUAUUGACGCUGAUGCACGAAAGUGUGGGGAUCAAACAGGAUUAGAUACCCUGGUAGUCCACACUGUAAACGAUGAUAACUAGCUGUCGGCGAUAGAUAGUCGGUGGCUAAGCGAAAGCGAUAAGUUAUCCACCUGGGGAGUACGACCGCAAGGUUGAAACUCAAAGGAAUUGACGGGGGCCCGCACAAGCGGAGGAACAUGUGGUUUAAUUCGAUGAUACGCGAGGAACCUUACCCGGGCUCGAACGGUGCAGGAAUAUGGUAGAGAUAUCAUAGCUAGCAAUAGUCUGUAUCGAGGUGCUGCAUGGUUGUCGUCAGCUCGUGCCGUGAGGUGUCGGCUUAAGUGCCAUAACGAGCGCAACCCUUGUCGUUAGUUACCAUCAAGUAAAGUUGGGGACUCUAGCGAGACUGCCACCGUAAGGUGUGAGGAAGGGGGGGAUGACGUCAAAUCAGCACGGCCCUUACGUCCGGGGCGACACACGUGUUACAAUGGUAGGUACAGAGGGGCGCUAUCCAGUGAUGGAGUGCGAAUCUCAAAAACCUAUCUCAGUUCGGAUUGGAGUCUGCAACUCGACUCCAUGAAGUUGGAUUCGCUAGUAAUCGCGCAUCAGCCAUGGCGCGGUGAAUACGUUCCCGGGCCUUGUACACACCGCCCGUCAAGCCAUGGAAGCCGGGGGUGCCUGAAGUUCGCGACCGCAAGGAGCGACCUAGGGCAAAACUGGUAACUGGGGCUAAGUCGUAACAAGGUAACC